UACGUAGGGUGCGAGCGUUAAUCGGAAUUUCUGGGCGUAAAGCGUGCGCAGGCGGUUCGUUAUGUCCGAUGUGAAAGCCCCGAGCUUAACUUGGGAAUGGCAUUGGAAACUGGCGGGCUGGAGUGCGGCAGAGGGGGGUGGAAUUCCACGUGUAGCAGUGAAAUGCGUAGAGAUGUGGAGGAACACCGAUGGCGAAGGCAGCCCCCUGGGCCGACACUGACGCUCAGGCACGAAAGCGUGGGGAGCAAACAGG
RNAcentral lists this ribosomal RNA (253 nucleotides) under uncultured bacterium. RNAcentral's name for it is "partial 16S ribosomal RNA". It matches the Rfam family "Bacterial small subunit ribosomal RNA", at positions 524 to 776 of the family's 1533-position model. The record is from RNAcentral.